GAACGCUGGCGGCGUGCCUAACACAUGCAAGUCGAACGGAGAUAUUCGGAGCUUGCUUUGGAUAUCUUAGUGGCGGACGGGUGAGUAACGCGUGAGUAACCUGCCUCUCAGAGGGGGAUAACGUUCUGAAAAGAACGCUAAUACCGCAUGAUAUUGCGAAACCGCAUGGUUUUGCAAUCAAAGGAGCAAUCCGCUGAGAGAUGGACUCGCGUCCGAUUAGCCAGUUGGCGGGGUAACGGCCCACCAAAGCGACGAUCGGUAGCCGGACUGAGAGGUUGAACGGCCACAUUGGGACUGAGACACGGCCCAGACUCCUACGGGAGGCAGCAGUGGGGGAUAUUGCACAAUGGGGGAAACCCUGAUGCAGCAACGCCGCGUGUGGGAAGAAGGUUUUCGGAUUGUAAACCACUGUUCUCAGGGACGAUAAUGACGGUACCUGAGGAGAAAGCUCCGGCUAACUACGUGCC
Molecule: ribosomal RNA, 467 nt
Filed under: uncultured bacterium
Lineage: Bacteria
Description: bacterial SSU rRNA
Rfam family: Bacterial small subunit ribosomal RNA
Source: RNAcentral